UUUUAUUUGAGAGUUUGAUCCUGGCUCAGGAUGAACGCUGGCGGCGUGCCUAACACAUGCAAGUUGAGCGAUUUACUUCGGUAAAGAGCGGCGGACGGGUGAGUAACGCGUGGGUAACCUACCCUGUACACACGGAUAACAUACCGAAAGGUAUGCUAAUACGGGAUAAUAUAUUUGAGAGGCAUCUCUUAAAUAUCAAAGGUGAGCUAGUACAGGAUGGACCCGCGUCUGAUUAGCUAGUUGGUAAGGUAACGGCUUACCAAGGCGACGAUCAGUAGCCGACCUGAGAGGGUGAUCGGCCACAUUGGAACUGAGACACGGUCCAAACUCCUACGGGAGGCAGCAGUGGGGAAUAUUGCACAAUGGGCGAAAGCCUGAUGCAGCAACGCCGCGUGAGUGAUGAAGGCCUUCGGGUCGUAAAACUCUGUCCUCAAGGAAGAUAAUGACGGUACUUGAGGAGGAAGCCCCGGCUAACUACGUGCCAGCAGCCGCGGUAAUACGUAGGGGGCUAGCGUUAUCCGGAUUUACUGGGCGUAAAGGGUGCGUAGGCGGUCUUUCAAGUCAGGAGUGAAAGGCUACGGCUCAACCGUAGUAAGCUCUUGAAACUGGGAGACUUGAGUGCAGGAGAGGAGAGUGGAAUUCCUAGUGUAGCGGUGAAAUGCGUAGAUAUUAGGAGGAACAGUAG
RNAcentral lists this ribosomal RNA (685 nucleotides) under Clostridioides difficile. RNAcentral describes it as "bacterial SSU rRNA". It matches the Rfam family "Bacterial small subunit ribosomal RNA", at positions 1 to 712 of the family's 1533-position model. Lineage: Bacteria; Bacillati; Bacillota; Clostridia; Peptostreptococcales; Peptostreptococcaceae. The record is from RNAcentral.